AUGCACAGCAGCUCGUUAUGCAACACAAACCUCAACGUGACCCAAUGGAUAACACAAAUGGGGCAGCCCCCUCUCUUUGCCCUGUUCACUGAUACUGUCUGCAGCGCGGAUAACACACACAGCAUUCUCCUCAGCCUUGCAGGGAAACGCGCCAUGCUGCUCAUUCUGCUAUUCUACACGCUCCAAGUUGGAGAUGCGGGGCUGUUCCAAUACCCGCCCUUAGUCAGAGCCGAGGUCGGGAGCAGCGUAAACUUGACCUGCGAUAUCAGAGACUUCCCGACUGCAAAGUGCUUCAGUGUCAUCUGGAUCAAACUGCGGUCCAAGAGCAGACCGACCCUGGAAACUUAUCAAAGUGUCAGACCCGGUGGCAGCUUCGUAGGCAACGAAAUCGAGAAAUCCUGUUCCCUGAACCUCAACAACGCGCAGGUGAACGAUUCCGCGACGUACUAUUGCGCUUUUAUUAAGAGCUCACUCAUGUACACGGGCAAUGGAUCCACGCUAGUAGUACGAGAAGGCUCCGAUGACCGCGCUUAUAUUGAAAUCCUCACCCCUUCAGAGGGCGCAGUCCAGUCCAGUGGCGCCGCUACUUUAGUGUGUUUGGUGUUCGGGGUACCCGAGCAGGCUCGGGUCUAUUGGGUCAUCGAACACGAACUGACCGACUCCGGGACCGGAAAUUCCAGUGAAUCCACUCCGGACUUUAUCAGGAAUCAAAUCACCAUUCCGGGCGCGGUCUGGAGCAGCGGGACCGUGUGCACUUGUGUAGUGGAAACAGAGAGCGGGCGGAAUAUGAGAAAAAGCGUGAGCAAGACCG
Non-coding RNA from Polyodon spathula (Mississippi paddlefish), 811 nucleotides. The record is from the annotation of a RefSeq genome assembly. NCBI's taxonomy places the organism in Eukaryota, Metazoa, Chordata, Actinopteri, Acipenseriformes, Polyodontidae.